UGAAUUUUUAUUUAUUUUUUAUAAAAAAAAGGAUAUACACGUUGGAUUCAACUGGAUUCCAUCGUGACCUAAGCAUUAAUGCAAUUUGACGAGGAAAAAAAAAAACAUUAAUGCUAGGUAUAUAAUACUGAUCAUUAUUUAACACAUACUUGCAUUUUCGCAACAUAUGACCCUCGGACUGUGGAGAGCAGGACAAAAACAAAAAAAACAAAGACAAAAAACAAAAAACAAAAAACUCACAUACUACUUUCUCACCAGUUUCUUCUCCUCGCUUCCUCUAUUCAAGUUCUUUCUCUCUGCCUCCUCUCUUUAGCUAACCUCUCAAAAGCUCAGUAUUGCUUUUGAUUAAUCUGUUCAGGCUCCAAUAAUAUUUGUGCUAACGUUUCUCUUUGAUGACAUGAUUCUCUGAUCUGGGUCUUCUUUACUUGUUAUUCAGAUCCUAGUUUUCAAUUUCUUUUGGCUUCUGAUACUUCACUGUUGGAAAAGCCAGUAAUAGAAAGCUGCCUAUUUGGUUCUUGGGUUUUUGUUAGUUUCUUGAUUGGUCUAAUCAGAUUGCGAGAAAUGGGUUUUGCCAAUAAGAUGCAGAAAGUGGAUAUUUGCUUUCAGAUUAAUGGUAGACAAAGAAAAUAAAUUGCUUUUGUCAAUCCUGGAUUUCUCUCUGUUUGGGACCUGAAAAAUCAAAAAAUUUUUCUAGUUUGGAAUUUUCUUCACCAGGUUUAUUUCCUAUGGGUAGAGGUAGAGGUAAAGGGAAGAAACAAAGCAUUAUUGCUGUUCGUGAGGAUCCUGGAAGUGGUGAAGAGGAGAGGAUUCCACCAAACAGGAGAAGAGGAAGGCCACAUAAACCAUUGAAGGAAGAUAUUGGAGAAGGAGAAGAAGCUCAGAAGACAGAAGAUGUUGAGGAAGCAAAAAUUUAUGUUUCUAGCAAAGACAUGAAAAACCAAUCUGCCAUAGAGAAUGGAAGGAAAAGGAAGAGGUCUGCUCAGGUCAAAGAAAAUAUAAAAUCAGUCAAAGAGGACAAAAACGUUGAAACAAAAUCAAGUCUUGAUGACUCGACAAAGUCCGUUGGAUUCCGACAAAAUGGGAGUAGGCGGAAAAACAAGCCUCACCGAGCUGCUGAAGCUGGUGUUCAGUGCAAAUGAGUUCAGUUUUGCUGUUGUGAUAGUUGCGCACCUUCUUUGCCGUCAACGGAUAAAUCAGAAGCAUGGAGAAGGGCUUUGUUGGUUCACCUAUCAUUCCUUAUAUUGCCUUCAUUAUAUGUUUUACAUUUCUUCUUUCUUUUGCGAAUGGAUGAUUUUGAUUGUGAGGUUUUGAAAUAUUCGCUUGUGCCAUGCUAUUUGCUUCUAUUACUAGCCACAGACAUUUUCGUUAGCCCUACAAAAUUUUCUCCAACAGCAUUCAUUGUACUUGAACUUAGAUGAGGUUGCCUUCAUUUUUCAUUCUUCAUUUCUCUUUCCUGAAAAGGAAAAUAGAUUUGGGGAUAUUCAUUUCUCUUUCCUGAAAAGGAAAAUAGCUAGGGAGGGAGUAUAUAUGCUUUCAAAUUAUCCAAAUUCCUCCAGCAGAAUACACUGGUGCUUCAAUUCAGGCAGCUCACAAAAUGAAACUGACGGCUUUUAUACCUGGAAAUAGACCCAUACACCUGAAGUCUUGAAUAAAGAUAAUGGCCUUCACAAUGGAUUACAAGUGUUCACUGGAUUUUGUUGGGCUUUACUUGAACAUAUGUGUUUGGUGUUGGCUCUUCUAGCAGAUGAUAAUUGAGGAGACUCAAAUACUCAACAAGGGAAAACCAGGUGAGUUCAACGGUGACGGAUUUCAUUUUUAGUUUACAAUACUAACUCUUUAAGUUAUUAAGUUGCCAGUGCUAGAGUCAUGGAUUUCAUUUACAUGGCUGAAUGAUUAAAAUAUAUAGGUAAGCGUGAUUGAUAGUCAUUCUCCUGAUGUUCUGACAAAUAUGGAAAACAAACAUUUUCAAAACAGAAAUCUAUAUGCAUCCCCUUUUUGGUUCCUAUUUGUGGAAUAGAUUGGGUUAGGUGCCUGAAUGAUCAAGUACUCUGCACAUGCAGAGGGAUCUAAACACGAUAUCAUGUGUGCACCUGUUUUGGUAAUCCAAAUAAAGCUGAAGCUUAGGUAACAAAUUGGCAUCUGAGCAAUUUCACUUUUGUCGAGUGUAUUCAGGAUCCUAUGUUAUGUUCAGUUGUAUCGAGUGUAUUUAGGAUCCUAUGUUAUGUGCAGUUUAGGUUUGAUCUUACACAAGCCAAUUGAACAUACGUGUGCCUCCAAUCUAUACGAAACAAAAUUAUUCCUUACUUGGACUAUCACAUUGAGAACUUAGAAGCAUUUUGUCACUUCGACUAAACUUCUGAAAUACCAUGCAGUGGUUAUUGUGAAGAAUCCUUUAGAUGGUUUAGUGCAACCAGAACACUACCAUUAUCCCACGAGAAGGGUAUACAUUGUGGCUGUUGAAGUGCCUAGAAGGACAAACAAUGAAAUGCCCUUCGGGUAGGAGUCUAGUGAAAACCAGUGUCUUGGAUUACAAACAUGUUAAAUACUAAAGUUUAGCACUGUUGUAUAAUUUCCUUUUGUAUGUGUAGUUUUUGCAGCUAGUAUAAUUGAAUGGCAUAUGGUAGCACACGUUAAAAGCGCCACAUUGUGUGCCAUAUAGCUUGCAGAUCAGAAUACAGGGUGAAAUAAGGAGUGUCGCUUUUGACAGCCUUCUUUUCUGAGAGUGUUUCUUCGUCCAAUCCGUUUUAGAAUUCAUGGGUCAUAUUUUUUUCUUCAUUCAAGGUCACCAAGAGUAAGGAGAUGCCGGGAACUUAUAUCUGAGCCUUGCUAGAGAUGAUACAUCUCAGUUAUACAGAGUUUGUGGGAUUUGACAUCAGUUUCUUUUAGCAAUAUAUUCUUAUGCAAUAUAGAACUUAAAUUUUAGGAGACAUGUCGCAGCCCAAAGCUUUUGUUUAGUCUUUGUCUAGUUGCUAACCAUACCUUUGGCAUUCACCAGUGACUUGGCUUUCAUCAGUUGAUGCUGAUGGCUUGAGGCGAAGAGGUGGUGACCAAGAUUGUGCAUACAAGAAGAUAUCCAUGUUUAACAUUUUUUUUUCUAGUAUAAUUAUAUAGUCCGCAAAAUCAACUACAAAUCUGCCAAACAUGCUUCCAUCAACGAGGUUCACUUAAAAAAUUAUCGUAAUUUCUUUAUCAGUCCAAUUAACUUGAAAUAAUGUGGAAUCAAACUAGAGACAUUAACUUCACCUAACAAAACAUUAGAGUCGUUUGAAUCCAAUUAAUAGCCUCAAAUGACAUCCGAAGUUAACUUGUGAAACCUGCCGGCACAUAUUUCUUCUCUAACAUAUGUUACUUCGAAAUUUACCAUAAAUAAAUCAUGUAUCCAUGACAAUUGAUAGUUUAUGAUAAGACAAGACACGUAUAUGAUAUAUCCAAAA
This is an RNA transcript of Prunus persica (peach), 3434 nucleotides long. RefSeq lists it as uncharacterized. The record is from RefSeq and is a predicted model, not a curated record. Lineage: Eukaryota; Viridiplantae; Streptophyta; Magnoliopsida; Rosales; Rosaceae. The transcript has 4 exons.